This 253-nucleotide ribosomal RNA is filed under the name uncultured bacterium. Its description in RNAcentral is "partial 16S ribosomal RNA". It matches the Rfam family "Bacterial small subunit ribosomal RNA", at positions 524 to 776 of the family's 1533-position model. The record is from RNAcentral.
UACGUAGGAUCCGAGCGUUGUCCGGAAUUAUUGGGUGUAAAGGGCGUGUAGGUGGGCGUUUAAGUCGGUGGUGAAAUCUUGCAGCUUAACUGUAAAACUGCCAUUGAAACUGGACGUCUUGAGUACGGCAGAGGGAAAUGGAAUUCAUGGUGUAGCGGUGAAAUGUGUAGAUAUCAUGAAGAACACCAGUAGCGAAGGCGGUUUCCUGGUCCGUUACUGACACUGAGGCGCGAAAGCGUGGGGAGCAAACGGG